GCCGUGGUGGCGCAAUCUGGUACCGCGUCAGCCUCGAAAGCUGAUUUCCUUUGGAUAUGUAGGUUCGAAUCCUGCCCACGGCG
Molecule: transfer RNA, 83 nt
Filed under: Candidatus Woesearchaeota archaeon
Lineage: Archaea; Nanobdellati; Candidatus Woesearchaeota
Description: tRNA-Ser
Rfam family: tRNA
About the family: Transfer RNA (tRNA) molecules are approximately 80 nucleotides in length. Their secondary structure includes four short double-helical elements and three loops (D, anti-codon, and T loops).
Source: RNAcentral